GCAAGAAUGGUUUAGUGGUAAAAUCUCAACGUUGCUCAUCGUUGGGCCCCGGGUUCGAUUCCUCGGGUUCUUGCA
This is a non-coding RNA of Candida tropicalis MYA-3404, 75 nucleotides long. NCBI's taxonomy places the organism in Eukaryota, Fungi, Ascomycota, Pichiomycetes, Serinales, Debaryomycetaceae. The record is from the annotation of a RefSeq genome assembly.